UACGGAGGGGGUUAGCGUUGUUCGGAAUUACUGGGCGUAAAGCGCGCGUAGGCGGAUCAGAAAGUUGGGGGUGAAAUCCCGGGGCUCAACCCCGGAAUUGCCUUCAAAACUCCUGGUCUUGAGUUCGAGAGAGGUGAGUGGAAUUCCGAGUGUAGAGGUGAAAUUCGUAGAUAUUCGGAGGAACACCAGUGGCGAAGGCGGCUCACUGGCUCGAUACUGACGCUGAGGUGCGAAAGCGUGGGGAGCAAACAGG
Molecule: ribosomal RNA, 253 nt
Filed under: uncultured bacterium
Lineage: Bacteria
Description: partial 16S ribosomal RNA
Rfam family: Bacterial small subunit ribosomal RNA
Source: RNAcentral